RNAcentral lists this long non-coding RNA (611 nucleotides) under Amborella trichopoda. RNAcentral's name for it is "long non-coding RNA (ATRI_LNC000617)". Lineage: Eukaryota; Viridiplantae; Streptophyta; Magnoliopsida; Amborellales; Amborellaceae. The record is from RNAcentral.
CUUUCCCAACGUCAGCAUUACCAAACAAGAGAAAGUAGCAGCACAACAGUUUAUCAAAUAGGGUUCCUAACUUGCAGGCUACCAAUUUAGGCUACCAAUUUUCACUUUCUCACAGAAUGAUUGGCAGGUGAGCUUACAUUUUCUCACACCUCGUUUUCUAGUUAAUAUUUUGCCCCAUCUCAUAAUCCAUGAUCUUCGGCCUUCGUUAUGUUGUCUUAAUGACAAGUUUGUUACUCUCAGUCAUUACGAAUUGUUUCUCAAUUAGGUACUGAUUGGUAUCUAAACUCCACUGUUCUAUGAAUGCAUCUAUUGUGGUAGCUUUUGCAUUUUUGUGAGAGGUUAUGAUCGAUAAAACAUAAUAUGGUAGCAGUCAUGGAGGGGUUUAAUGAAUUUGAACAAGGAGGUUCUCUGAAUGAGUUAUGAUUUGUCUUAAUUUUAUAUAAAUCAGGAUGCAUGCCUGGAAUCGUGCAUCCGGUUUUCGUACAUGCAAUUUAUCGAAGAGGAGUUAUGCAAGUGAUGCUGCCAAAGCUAGUUUGAAUCAUCAAGCUGAAAAUGUUCAUGUACAUCCUUUUACAUUUAUUACCUUUAAUUGCUUUUAUUUUGGCUGUUCG